UUGGAGGGCAAGUCUGGUGCCAGCAGCCGCGGGUAAUUCCAGCUCCAAUAGCGUAUAUUAAAGUUGUUGCAGUUAAAAAAGCUCGUAGUUGAACCUUGGGUCUGGCUGGCCGGUCCGCCUCACCGCGAGUACUGGUCCGGCUGGACCUUUCCUUCUGGGGAACCUCAUGGCCUUCACUGGCUGUGGGGGGAACCAGGACUUUUACUGUGAAAAAUUAGAGUGUUCAAAACNGGCCUUUGCUCGAAUACAUUAGCAUGGAAUAAUAGAAUAGGACGUGUCGG
RNAcentral lists this ribosomal RNA (281 nucleotides) under uncultured Ascomycota. RNAcentral describes it as "partial 18S ribosomal RNA". It matches the Rfam family "Eukaryotic small subunit ribosomal RNA", at positions 548 to 835 of the family's 1831-position model. Lineage: Eukaryota; Fungi; Ascomycota. The record is from RNAcentral.